GGUGGGCACUGGAUUGAUGGAGUGAUAAAUGUAUAAGGGUGAGGUGAGGUGCCAAGGUGCCAACGAACCCUUGAACACCCAUGUGCGUGGAUGCGUUGCCGGCCUUUAAGGAGGUAGAGAAACACGAAAUGUGUGAUACACCACGUGGAGACUGGAAUGAAUAAGACCUAAAAUAGACGGCGACAGAAGAGGAUCAGCUACCUGUCUAGAAAAAUUUAGAAUUAAGCAACAUAUGCAGCUGUUGCAAGUCUUAGCUACGUCCAAGGAUUGUAAAACAAUUUUUUUUAGU
Molecule: long non-coding RNA, 289 nt
Organism: Pieris rapae (cabbage white)
Lineage: Eukaryota; Metazoa; Arthropoda; Insecta; Lepidoptera; Pieridae
Exons: 3
Source: RefSeq, a predicted model, not a curated record